This 3159-nucleotide long non-coding RNA is filed under the name Populus trichocarpa (black cottonwood). RNAcentral's name for it is "long non-coding RNA (PTRI_LNC001618)". Lineage: Eukaryota; Viridiplantae; Streptophyta; Magnoliopsida; Malpighiales; Salicaceae. The record is from RNAcentral.
UAGAACACAAGAAUACUGCCUGCUGCCCUACUGGGAAGCACUCUCCUUUUCUUUCUCCUUCUCUUCUUCAGUCUUGGGGUGGUACCCAGGUAACUUCUCCUUGAUCUUCUCGAGUAGUCCCUUCUUCUCCUUGGCAUCUCCUUCAUGGGAAACUGCAGCUUCAGGGGAAACAUGUUCAGGAGCUGGAGGAGGGACCUCGUCAGCUUUCUUAUGUCCUGGCAAUUUCUCCUUGAUUUUGUCAAGGAAACCCUUCUUAUCCUCUGGUUCAUGGGGUGUCUCUGUAUGGACUACCUCGACAGGAACACUAGUAUCCUCGUGUUCCUUCUCCUCUCCUUUCUCUCCUGAUAUCUUCAUCUUCUCUUUCAAUGACCUCUUUUCCUUCUUCUUCUUCUUUUUCUCUUCAUCGUCACCUUCCUCCUCGUCGCUAGACUGCAUUUUUUAACACAUCAAAAAAUCUGUCAAUCUCAAGAAACACUUAACGGAAAAGACAACAAACAAAAUAAAUAAUGAGAUCGAUCCAUGGAUCGAGUUAGAAACUUACAGAGCUGGAAGAACUGCUGCCUGAUCGAUGGAGUUUCUCAAAGAGAGUAGGUUUCUUCUCCUCUUCCUCUUUUUUCUUGUGCUCUUCCUCUACUUUAGUCUCGGGUUCAGAAACCUGAAGUUUCUCUUCAAAUUCAGUACCAAUCACCUCCUCUUGAGGCUUCUCUUCUUCUUUCUUCCCCAGGAAAUCAAACAACCCGCGAUCCUUGGUCUCAACAGCACCACUCUCUUCACCAACUUUGGUCUCAUACUCAUGGCUCUUGUUUUCCUCAGCCAUACUGAUCAAAAUCACAAUAUGAACCUAAUCAAGAAAAGAUCAAAAUCACAACAGAGUAAUUAAAAUGAGUAAGCUUCUGCUUCGAGUGAUUUGCGCUUGUAACUGAUGGUUUGGGUUUGGGUUUGGGUUAGCAAGGGUGAUGGGCUUUUAUAGCUGGAAGCCAACGCGGAGCUGACGCGAUUAAGAAGUAAUAAAGCCAAGUGAGCUGGGCCAGUCAGGUUUCACUUCUGUAACCGACGUGUAAAUUUAAGUAAGGGAGGAAAUCAAAACGUAUUACUUCCGACAUGUAUAGAAUUAUAUGUACUCGCUUGAAUGAUUGGCUAGAUGUCUAGUAAUUAGAGAUGGAACUCAUGGGAGUGGUGGAGGCAUAAGCGUGUUCAAUACGCGGAGGAAUGUGUAAAGUAGCAGUCUGAAAGGAGGGAAGGAAGUAGAAAAGUUGAGAGGGGUACGCUGUAAUGUUCUGCAAAUGCCUUGGCGACACGUGGAACGAGAACGUGAAUGGCUGUCCUUGAGUGAGACCCGUGGUGUCGGCCUCGAUUGGAUAAAUAUGAAAGUGGGGGCGGUGUAUCUCGGGGCCACAGCAGAUUUUUUUUGUGUGUGUUGAGUGUGGGGUGGGAUUUUUUUUUUCUCAACGUAAAUAAAAUAUAGGUGCUGUAAACGUUUUUAUUAUUAUUAUUGAGAAAAAUUAUAAUGCAAGUUAAAAAGUUUAUAUUUGGGUUUAAUAAAAUAAACCAAUAAUUAUAUAUUAACAAAUGAUAAUAAAUCUAUUUGUUUUAAUUAAAUAUCCAGUUGAAAAGCUGAGGAAAAGAUGUUAUUUCUUGAAAACAAAUAUUGAAUAUUUGUUUCAUUUUAAAAUUAAAAUUUUUAAUUUUUAAUGGUUUUGAAUCAAUAAAAGUUCAAUUUUAUUUUGUUAGUAUUAACUCAAUGUUAAAAUUUAUAAUUGAUAUUGCAAUAACCCAAUUUAAAGUCAACUAGAAUAAACUAUGAAACCUACUUCUAGAUCAGGCUAAUAUGAGGGGAUCAAAUUAAAAAAAAAAAAAAUGAAACUAUCAAACUAAGAUGCGCCCUUAUAUGAUUUUUAUUCAUUUGAUUGUUAAAAAUAACAAUCAAAUGAAUAAAAAUCAAAUUUAACAUAUAUAUAUAAAAAAAACAACAUAGAGUUAAGCGCAAAACUCAACAAGAGACGGAAAAAAAAAGAAAAGAAAAAAAAAACCGGAGAGCCCUUGUCUCAAUGGGCCAUUAGAUAAGAAACUCCUCACCGUGAUGAUUUUGUUGGCACCAUGUAAGGGCGCAUCUCGAGCUUGGUAGUCGUUGCAAUUGUCGUCACAAUAUUGUGUCAUUUCUAAGUUAUUGGUGCAUGUGCUACAUAUGAUUAUUAUUUUUUUCAAGUUCGUUCAAUCUAGUCACUGGUUUCAAAAAAAAAAUGAUUGAACAUUUAUUUUAGAUUCAAAUUUGCCUUAUAAAGAUUCAUUUAUUUUAAAUGUGUCUAGUUGAUUAUCAACCGAGCAUUAAAAGUUUUUUUCAACAUGUCAAGAGCUCCAUGUAAAGUAAAGUAAAACAAAUUAUAAAACUGAAAAGCAAAUCAAUUUAUUGUGAAAAUGAUCAAAUUAAAAAAAUACGAGAGGGUGAGAUUAAAAAAAAGGCAAGAGUGAAAGAAAUAAACAGGAGAGGUGUUCGUUGUUCAAAUAAGCAGCAAAGCAACCUCAGAUAUUUUAUUGUUUUCUCUAGUAAUAUACAUGGAAUGGCUACUAAAUUUAAUUUUAGAAACGGAUUAUUUAUAUUAAGAUUAGAAGAUUUAUGGGAAAAUAUAUUCUUAUCACACAAAAUUAUCUAUUCGUUUAAUUCAUUUUGGUCUAGAACUAUUAACUUACUAAUUAGAUUAAUUAUUGGAUUACUGAGUUAUCAAGAGAUAUUGAAACAUAUAUUUUAUAAACAAAUUAGUAGAAGAAGUAAAGAAUGGCGGGCUUGGAUUUUAUAAAAUUAAUUAAAUUAACAUAUCAAUUUGUAUAGAUAUCUAGUAUUCAUGAUUUGAAAGAUCUACACGGGAGGAACUGGGAAUUCAAGGUUAUAGAAGCAGGGGGGUAUAUUAAGAUACAAAAAUCAUUUACACAUAAAAAUAUAUAUAUACAAUAAUUAUAGAUUUUAACUAAAAUAUACUAUUUUUUUUACUAAAAAGGACUUUUUAUAAAAAAUAAAAUUUAUAUAAAAUAACUAUUAAAUUUUGGUCAUCAUUUUAAACUUUCAGAGGGGUCAUGUGCACUGGGCCUCUUAUUCGGUAGCAUUUCUACCUCAGUGACCAGCAGAAUCACUUACAAACUAGUUAAUUGGCAGGGUUAGGGUAU